This is a long non-coding RNA of Nerophis ophidion (straightnose pipefish), 313 nucleotides long. RefSeq lists it as uncharacterized. The transcript has 3 exons. Lineage: Eukaryota; Metazoa; Chordata; Actinopteri; Syngnathiformes; Syngnathidae. The record is from RefSeq and is a predicted model, not a curated record.
CCGGUCCCCAAACUGAAGGAGGUUCCUCUGCAGUGCAGGACAUGUCGGCUGACGAAACAGGAAAAUAAGCUGUUUAAACCAAAAAGGUCCGCAUGGAGCUGGAGCUCCGCCUGAAUUUCGGGAGAUUUUCGGGAGAAAAUCUGUCCCGGGAGGUUUUCGGGAGAGCCGCUGAAUUUCGGGAAUCCCCCGGAAAAUCCGGGAGGGUUGGCAAGUAUGCUUUGCUAAAUAGCUCUUGAUCCAGGACAGAACUGGCCCUCGGAUGCCGUACUUAUCCAACUUAUUUAUUAACUGUCUGUGGUCAAUGGUAUCGAAG